Molecule: small nuclear RNA, 163 nt
Organism: Callithrix jacchus (white-tufted-ear marmoset)
Lineage: Eukaryota; Metazoa; Chordata; Mammalia; Primates; Cebidae
Gene: U1
Rfam family: U1 spliceosomal RNA
About the family: U1 is a small nuclear RNA (snRNA) component of the spliceosome (involved in pre-mRNA splicing). Its 5' end forms complementary base pairs with the 5' splice junction, thus defining the 5' donor site of an intron.
Source: Ensembl
AUACUUAUCUGGCAGGGGAGAUACCAUGAUCAUGAAGGUGGUUUUCCCAGGGCGAGGCUUAUCCAUUGCACUCUGAAUGUACUGACCCCUGUGAUUUAUCCAAAUGUGGGAAACUCGAUUUCAUAAUUUGUGGAGGUGGGGGAUUGCAUUCAUAAUUCUCCUG